RNAcentral lists this ribosomal RNA (805 nucleotides) under Kellermania macrospora. RNAcentral's name for it is "eukaryotic LSU rRNA". It matches the Rfam family "Eukaryotic large subunit ribosomal RNA", at positions 1 to 822 of the family's 3401-position model. Lineage: Eukaryota; Fungi; Ascomycota; Dothideomycetes; Botryosphaeriales; Planistromellaceae. The record is from RNAcentral.
GUUGACCUCGGAUCAGGUAGGGAUACCCGCUGAACUUAAGCAUAUCAAUAAGCGGAGGAAAAGAAACCAACAGGGAUUGCCUCAGUAACGGCGAGUGAAGCGGCAACAGCUCAAAUUUGAAAUCUGGCGCCUUCGGCGUCCGAGUUGUAAUUUGUAGAGGAUGUUUCGGCGAGGGCUCCCGUCUAAGUCCCUUGGAACAGGGCGUCGCAGAGGGUGAGAAUCCCGUAUGUGAUGGGUUGCUCGAGCCAUGUGAAACUCCUUCGACGAGUCGAGUUGUUUGGGAAUGCAGCUCUAAAUGGGAGGUAAAUUUCUUCUAAAGCUAAAUACCGGCCAGAGACCGAUAGCGCACAAGUAGAGUGAUCGAAAGAUGAAAAGCACUUUGGAAAGAGAGUUAAAAAGUACGUGAAAUUGUUGAAAGGGAAGCGCUUGCAACCAGACUCGCGCGCAGUUGCUCAGCCGGUCUCCUGACCGGUGUACUCUUCUGCGUCCGGGCCAGCAUCAGUUCGGGCGGUCGGAUAAAGGCCUCGGGAAUGUGGCUCCCCUCGGGGAGUGUUAUAGCCCGGGGUGCAAUGCGGCCAGCCUGGACUGAGGAACUCGCUUCGGCUAGGAUGCUGGCGUAAUGGUUGUAAGCGGCCCGUCUUGAAACACGGACCAAGGAGUCUAACAUCUAUGCGAGUGUUUGGGUGUCAAACCCAUGCGCGUAAUGAAAGUGAACGGAGGUGGGAACCCUCACGGGUGCACCAUCGACCGAUCCUGAUGUCUUCGGAUGGAUUUGAGUAAGAGCAUAGCUGUUGGGACCCGAAAG